Molecule: ribosomal RNA, 381 nt
Filed under: uncultured bacterium
Lineage: Bacteria
Description: bacterial SSU rRNA
Rfam family: Bacterial small subunit ribosomal RNA
Source: RNAcentral
GACGAACGCUGGCGGCGUGCUUAACACAUGCAAGUCGAGCGGUAAGGCCCUUUCGGGGGUACACGAGCGGCGAACGGGUGAGUAACACGUGGGUGACCUGCCCUCAGCUCUGGGAUAAGCCUGGGAAACCGGGUCUAAUACUGGAUAUGACUCCAUGACGCAUGUUGUGGGGUGGAAAGCCUUGUGCGGCUGAGGAUGGGCCCGCGGCCUAUCAGCUUGUUGGUGGGGUGANGGCCUACCAAGGCGACGACGGGUAGCCGGCCUGAGAGGGCGACCGGCCACACUGGGACUGAGACACGGCCCCAGACUCCUACGGGAGGCAGCAGUGGGGAAUCUUGCGCAAUGGGCGAAAGCCUGACGCAGCGACGCCGCGUGAGGGAU